UCCCUGGUGGCUCAGCUGGUAAAGAGCCCGCCUGCAAUGCGGGAGACCUGGGUUCCAUCCCUGGGUUGGGAA
RNAcentral lists this transfer RNA (72 nucleotides) under Ovis aries (sheep). It matches the Rfam family "tRNA". Rfam says of the family: Transfer RNA (tRNA) molecules are approximately 80 nucleotides in length. Their secondary structure includes four short double-helical elements and three loops (D, anti-codon, and T loops). Lineage: Eukaryota; Metazoa; Chordata; Mammalia; Artiodactyla; Bovidae. The record is from Rfam by way of RNAcentral.